AACGAACGCUGGCGGCGUGCUUAACACAUGCAAGUCGAACGCGAAAGGGGCUUCGGUCCUGAGUAGAGUGGCGCACGGGUGAGUAACGCGUAGAUAACCUGUCCUGGUGUCUGGAAUAACGUCUCGAAAGGGGCACUAAUACCGGAUAUUCUUGCUUUCUUCAAGGUAUACAAGGAAAGGUGGCCUCUGGAACAAGCUACUGCACGAGGAGGGGUCUGCGUACCAUUAGCUAGUAGGUGGGGUAAUGGCCUACCUAGGCGACGAUGGUUAGCGGGUCUGAGAGGAUGAUCCGCCACACGGGCACUGGAAUACGGGCCAGACUCCUACGGGAGGCAGCAGUGAGGAAUAUUGCGCAAUGGGGGCAACCCUGACGCAGCGACGCCGCGUGAGUGAGGAAGGCCUUCGGGUCGUAAAGCUCUGUCAAGAGGGAAGAAGUGCAUGGUGGUUAAUAUCUGUCAUGUUUGACGGUACCUCUAAAGGAAGCACCGGCUAACUCCGUGCCAGCCGCCGCGGUAA
RNAcentral lists this ribosomal RNA (516 nucleotides) under uncultured bacterium. RNAcentral describes it as "partial 16S ribosomal RNA". It matches the Rfam family "Bacterial small subunit ribosomal RNA", at positions 29 to 523 of the family's 1533-position model. The record is from RNAcentral.